ACCCCCGAGAACCGCUCUCCUAAAGCGGGUGCCGCAGGUUCGAAUCCUGCCGGGGGCA
Molecule: transfer RNA, 58 nt
Filed under: Nonomuraea maritima
Lineage: Bacteria; Bacillati; Actinomycetota; Actinomycetes; Streptosporangiales; Streptosporangiaceae
Description: tRNA_Arg_CCT
Rfam family: tRNA
About the family: Transfer RNA (tRNA) molecules are approximately 80 nucleotides in length. Their secondary structure includes four short double-helical elements and three loops (D, anti-codon, and T loops).
Source: RNAcentral